This 350-nucleotide ribosomal RNA is filed under the name uncultured fungus. RNAcentral's name for it is "SSU rRNA". It matches the Rfam family "Eukaryotic small subunit ribosomal RNA", at positions 20 to 370 of the family's 1831-position model. The record is from RNAcentral. Lineage: Eukaryota; Fungi.
GUAGUCAUAUGCUUGUCUCAAAGAUUAAGCCAUGCAUGUCUAAGUAUAAGCAAUUUAUACAGUGAAACUGCGAAUGGCUCGUUAAAUCAGUUAUCGUUUAUUUGAUAGUACCUUUACUACUUGGAUAACCGUGGUAAUUCUAGAGCUAAUACAUGCUAAAAAUCCCGACUGUUUGGAAGGGAUGUAUUUAUUAGAUAAAAAAUCAAUGCUUUUCGGAGCUCUUUGAUGAUUCAUAAUAACUUUUCGAAUCGCAUGGCCUUGUGCUGGCGAUGGUUCAUUCAAAUUUCUGCCCUAUCAACUUUCGAUGGUAGGAUAGUGGCCUACCAUGGUGGCAACGGGUAACGGGGAAU